This 253-nucleotide ribosomal RNA is filed under the name uncultured bacterium. Its description in RNAcentral is "partial 16S ribosomal RNA". It matches the Rfam family "Bacterial small subunit ribosomal RNA", at positions 524 to 776 of the family's 1533-position model. The record is from RNAcentral.
UACGGAGGAUGCAAGCGUUGUCCGGAUUUAUUGGGUUUAAAGGGUGCGUAGGCGGUCUUAUAAGUCAGUGGUUAAAUUACUUUGCUUAACAAGGGACCUGCCAUUGAUACUGUAAGACUUGAAUACUGACUAGGUAGGCGGAAUUGGUAGUGUAGCGGUGAAAUGCUUAGAUAUUACCAGGAACACCGAUAGCGAAGGCAGCUUACUGGACAGAGAUUGACGCUGAGGCACGAAAGUGCGGGUAUCAAACAGG